This 253-nucleotide ribosomal RNA is filed under the name uncultured bacterium. RNAcentral's name for it is "partial 16S ribosomal RNA". It matches the Rfam family "Bacterial small subunit ribosomal RNA", at positions 524 to 776 of the family's 1533-position model. The record is from RNAcentral.
UACAGAGGUGGCAAGCGUUGUUCGGAAUUACUGGGCGUAAAGCGCGUGUAGGCGGAAGCGAAAGUCCGGUGUGAAAGCCCCCCGCUCAACGGGGGAAGGUCGCUGGAAACUGCGCUUCUUGAGGGCGGCAGAGGGAAGUGGAAUUGCUGGUGUAGCGGUGAAAUGCGUAGAGAUCAGCAGGAACACCCGUGGCGAAGGCGGCUUCCUGGGCCGCGCCUGACGCUGAGACGCGAAAGCGUGGGGAGCGAACGGG